Molecule: ribosomal RNA, 253 nt
Filed under: uncultured bacterium
Lineage: Bacteria
Description: partial 16S ribosomal RNA
Rfam family: Bacterial small subunit ribosomal RNA
Source: RNAcentral
UACGUAGGGCGCAAGCGUUAUCCGGAAUCAUUGGGCGUAAAGCGCGUGUAGGCGGUCCGGUAAGUCCGCUGUGAAAGUCGGGGGCUCAACCCUCGGAUGCCGGUGGAUACUGUCGGGCUUGAGUACGGAAGAGGCGAGUGGAAUUCCUGGUGUAGCGGUGAAAUGCGCAGAUAUCAGGAGGAACACCAAUUGCGAAGGCAGCUCGCUGGGACGUUACUGACGCUGAGACGCGAAAGCGUGGGGAGCAAACAGG